GUGGGGAAUAUUGGACAAUGGGGGGAACCCUGAUCCAGCCAUGCCGCGUGUGUGAAGAAGGCCUUUUGGUUGUAAAGCACUUUAAGCGAGGAGGAGGCUACCGAGAUUAAUACUCUUGGAUAGUGGACGUUACUCGCAGAAUAAGCACCGGCUAACUCUGUGCCAGCAGCCGCGGUAAUACAGAGGGUGCAAGCGUUAAUCGGAUUUACUGGGCGUAAAGCGCGCGUAGGUGGCCAAUUAAGUCAAAUGUGAAAUCCCCGAGCUUAACUUGGGAAUUGCAUUCGAUACUGGUUGGGUAGAGUAUGGGAGAGGAUGGUAGAAUUCCAGGUGUAGCGGUGAAAUGCGUAGAGAUCUGGAGGAAUACCGAUGGCGAAGGCAGCCAUCUGGCCUAAUACUGACACUGAGGUGCGAAAGCAUGGGGAGCAAACAGGAUUAGAUACCCGUGUAGUCC
Molecule: ribosomal RNA, 451 nt
Filed under: uncultured bacterium
Lineage: Bacteria
Description: partial 16S ribosomal RNA
Rfam family: Bacterial small subunit ribosomal RNA
Source: RNAcentral